GAUCAUGGCUCAGGAUGAACGCUAGCUACAGGCUUAACACGUGCAAGUCGAGGGGCAGCAUUUUAGUUUGCUUGCAAACUAAAGAUGGCGACCGGCGCACGGGUGAGUAACACGUAUCCAACCUGCCGAUAACUCGGGGAUAGCCUUUCGAAAGAAAGAUUAAUAUCCGAUAGUAUAUUAAAACCGCAUGGUUUUACUAUUAAAGAAUUUCGGUUAUCGAUGGGGAUGCGUUCCAUUAGUUUGUUGGCGGGGUAACGGCCC
This 261-nucleotide ribosomal RNA is filed under the name uncultured bacterium. Its description in RNAcentral is "partial 16S ribosomal RNA". It matches the Rfam family "Bacterial small subunit ribosomal RNA", at positions 15 to 266 of the family's 1533-position model. The record is from RNAcentral.